GGAAACUUUGUCCACUCCCUCACAUUAGGAAGCACAGAAAGAGAGUGGGGAAAAAAUUUUGGUUAGGGGCACUGCUGGAUGAGAUGCAACAGGCUCAAUAAGAAGACAGAAAGAAACAAACAACUCGUUUCCGCUUUGCGAGCAGAUCCGCAUGGCCAGAAGGCUCCCUGUAGGGUUGGAGACCCGGCACCAGCAGUGACCAGAAUAUGAAUAAAACUGAAGUGAAAACAUAUUAGAAAUUAAGGCCAGCUUUCCUGAAUCGUAGAGUUCUCCUAUGUGCCAAAGGUAAUUUGGCUACACAUUGACAUCAGACUUUCUUACAAGCAGCAACAGAAAUGGAAAAUCAGAG
RNAcentral lists this long non-coding RNA (349 nucleotides) under Cyanistes caeruleus (blue tit). RNAcentral describes it as "lncRNA (ENSCCEG00000000904.1)". Lineage: Eukaryota; Metazoa; Chordata; Aves; Passeriformes; Paridae. The record is from RNAcentral.